CCUUGCGCCUGGCUGCCCGCCGCGGGUCCGGCGUGCGUGCUCCAUGGUGGAGCUCGGGCUUCCUCCAGAAGAAGUGGAGUGAGUUGUGCAAGGUGCGCUGCGGCCCCGCUGAGAGCUCGGGCUGAGACCAGGUCCGAGAUGCUUCUCGCGUCGCCCCCAUCGCUCGGCUCAGACCCUUACCGGCGGCCAAGGUUUGGGCCUUUCUGCCGUAGGACACGUCCACCCACGCGCUUCUGGGUGCCUUGGCAACGCGCCGCGGGGCGUGGCCUCAGAGACAGACAGCACCGUGGCUAGGGUCGACCUUUGCCCCAGUUACUGGGGGCCUGGAACCUAGCAACCUUGGGAGAGGCUGCGGGCCUCAGGAAUUCCUUUUUUUUUUUUCUGAGAUAAAGUCUCAUGUAGCUUGGGCCAACUUCGAACUCUGUAUGUAGAUGAAUGAAGAUGACGCUGAAUUCCUCAAUCUUCUGCCACCACCAGCCCCUCCUCAAGUGCUUGACUUAAAAGUCUGGACCAUCACAGGAAGAAGUCCUUCCCCUGCUUUCCCCUGCUUCCGUGUGUUCAUUCAUUCAUUCCGCAAAUAUUUGUACAGUGGCACUCUACUCCAAGCGCUGUUUCCGGCACUGAGCAGAACAAGGAACAAGCUUCUGUCUCCGGCUUCUUUAGCCUUUGACCAGCGGUGAAGAUGGGGAAAACCCAGUCACGGGAAUAAAUUUUAUUUACAAACCGGUGAAA
Molecule: non-coding RNA, 732 nt
Organism: Peromyscus maniculatus bairdii (prairie deer mouse)
Lineage: Eukaryota; Metazoa; Chordata; Mammalia; Rodentia; Cricetidae
Source: RefSeq, a predicted model, not a curated record